AUGGCGACGGCCGUCUCGCUCUCCCUUUCCCGCGCCGUCCUCCACACCUCCGCUCCUCGGCCAACGUUCCACCGCCGCGUGUCCGUCUCAGGCGCCGGCUCCACACUCCCGGACGCGCGCCGUCUUUGUCGCCGUUCAUCGGCCGUCUCUGCCGCGGCAGGGGCUUCUCCGGCCGAAGUCGGCACCGCCGCGUGGGACGCCCUCGGCGGCGUCUCCGUCUUCGCCGCUGGCACCGGCGACGCCGUGCCGCUCAGGGACCUGUGGGACCCGUCCGAGGGGGUGGUCGUGGUCGCGCUGCUAAGGCAUUUCGGAUGCUUCUGCUGCUGGGAGCUGGCCUCUGAUCUGAAGAAAUCCAUGCCGAAAUUCGAGUCUGCGGGAGCUAAACUAAUCGCCAUCGGCGUCGGCACCUCUGACAAGGCACGCAUUCUCGCCGACGGGCUGCCAUUUCCUGUGGAUAGCUUGUACGCCGACCCCGAGCGCAAGGCUUACAAUGUCUUGGGCCUGUACCACGGAUUAGGCCGUACACUCUUCAGUCCAGCCAGUGCAAAAAUAUACUCGAGGCUCGACUCCAUCAAGGAGGCGACCAAGAACUACACGCUGAAAGGCACACCGGCAGACCUGACGGGCGUCAUGCAGCAGGGUGGGAUGUUUGUGUUCAGAGGAAAAGAACUGCUGUACGCAUGGAGAGAUGAAGGGACCGGCGAUCACGCGGAUGAUGUCCUCGGCAUCUGUCGCCAAGUUCCGGUUGCUUGA
This 753-nucleotide ribosomal RNA is filed under the name Triticum aestivum (bread wheat). RNAcentral's name for it is "partial small subunit ribosomal RNA". Lineage: Eukaryota; Viridiplantae; Streptophyta; Magnoliopsida; Poales; Poaceae. The record is from RNAcentral.